CUCAACCCGCUCUCCGCCGCCAUGGCUUUGAACCGCCCCUACUGCCGUGGUUUUCGCCGCUACUGACGGGUGCUGCUGCGUCCGCGCAGACUGUUUCUACCUUGCUGGUCGCCCGCUGCUUUCCUUCGACUGCUGAGUCGUCCAAUUGAACAUAUAAAUCACGCUAGGCAACCCGCCCUUCUAGCACGUUUGCAUCGCGCGGGCGAUUGGGUUCGCACGAUUGCCUGCCGUUUGUACCUUUUACAGCCGUGGCAACUGUUCAGCCGUUCUCUUUUCUUUACUUCUCUCCUUGCUUCUAUGUGCAUGACAGGUGGGCCUUAUUUACCCACAGGCUCUGAAAGUGUAGUUCGUUUUUGUGUUUAUUGGGUGAAAGGUGAAAGAAGGAUAAGCGUUGCGAGCAGCACGGUGAAAACCUAAUCGCCAAUCCCCUUCCGUCAUCGCAUCUCGCCCACUUCCUCCUCCCUUCGCCGCCGCCUCCCCUCCUCGCCUCUUCCCAUGCUCUACACCACCACCACCACGCCCCUGCUCCUACACCGCCUCGCCGCCGGCCGCCUCUGCGCCUGUUCGUCUGCCCCCUCGGAAGGCACCGAGUUGCGGCCAGCCCGUGCUCAGCCUCCGCCCAUGCGCUCGAGAAGAGGGGAGGGGCAGCCGCAGGGUAGGAGCAGCCACAACAGUCGCCAGUGCUGCCUCAUCUACCGCACUUCACGCCACCAUCCAUCCACCCGGUGAACUGGAGAGGCAGAUGAUGAGCGUCGCCUCGUAUCUUGGGGCUGGAUCCCGAUUCUGCCGCUCCACGGCAUGCCGUCCGCCUUUUCCUCCACCUUGUGUGGCUGCUCUGGUCGACCUCUUCCUCAUUGUAGGUGCUCAACAGGAGAAGCGCGAGCAGCCGGUGCAGCCGAGAGUUCGCCUGGUUGCAGCUCGACUUCAGCCAACAUCAGCCUUUGUUGCUGUUACUGUCCCAUUUUGAGAACCAAAGAAAUACCGCCUUUCAGCUAGAUGUGUGUUAGGUGAAUGCUGCAGGCCAUUUUGUUCAUUGGCCCGGCAUGAUUUGGAUUGCAUCACCUACAGAGUUGUAGGUCUGUGUGAUUGAUGAGCUGGCUUAGGAAGGCACAGUCGAUUAUUAUUGCCUAUUUCUCCAUUGAAAGCUGCUACUUCUUUCGUCUUAGAAGGUACUUGUGUGUACAAUGGAUACUUUUAUUGUGAUUUUUCUUCUUUGUCAUGGAGAGUUUGAAACUACUAUACAUAUUAGUCUUUUGCGAUUUCACUUUCCUAAGCUCGAGCCGCAGCGUUGGUCCACGGCGCCGGCACCAUCGUCAUCCGCAGUAAGAGUGUGGGCUACAGAGACGUCCGGCUCUCGCGCCACCGUCUGUCCACCCGAGAGGUCCAUGGCUGGACGGCGUCCUUCUAUCUACGUGGCCUGACCUUGCAGUGCAGAAAGGCGACGUCUUGCAAUAAAUAAUUGAGGAGGACCUAGAUUUCUCCAGAAUGAACAUGCAGCUACAUGGUGGACACUGUAGACGCGAAUCCACGCAAUCUGGACCAUAGGAUUGACCCCAUCGACGGCUGAAAUUGCUUCCUAAGUCCAUGUUUCAAAUUUUCAAAACUGGUACACUAUAUAGUAGUAUAGAUAAAUGGUUCAUUCUGUCCAAAGAAAUAAUAAGUUGUGUACGGUAUUAGUUCAAACUAUCCAAAGAAAACGCUUAUUUAGUUCAUUCUGACCAAGGUUGGCGUGUAUACAGGGUUGGGGGCCAUUUUACUUGGUCGUCCAUUUCCUUAAGUAAAAGUUGCUCUUUUCUCUCAGAUAUUUGCUGUGUGGAUGACCGAUCAUGCAACAGGCAUUGUCUAUAUAGUAAGAUAGUGUUCUUGUUUUCUGUGACUGUAUAAAUGACGAAAUAAAUUAGUAAUUAAGUGAUUCAUUCUGACGUUUUAGAAUCUGAUAUUUUAUCUGCAUGUGUAGCACUCAAAUUAUGUUUUUCAUUUCUGUUUUCUUUUCAUUUAAGAUGUUAGUUUGAGUUGCUAAAGUAGAUGUUUAUCAUUUCCAGUAGGAUAUGCAUUUGAUCCAGUCCAUGUCUUGGUCUCUUUUUGAAGUGUGUUUAGCCAUGUUCUUCCUACAUGUGUUCAAUCCGUCGGUAGCUAGCGAAUGUUGUGCUGUGACAAAGGUGCACUCCAGGAAAAAAAUUAUUCUGCAAAGAAUCUUUAUCAACAAAGCGCAUAGGGAAGAUUGUCAGUGUCAGCGACCAAUUAUUUUGUUCAGCAGGUGUUCCCUUCAAAUGAGGCUCCAGCAAGGGGAUGCUAGCAGAUAUCAACCGGUUGGUUGAUUGUGUGCACAUUCUGUAAAGUCAACUUAAAGCUUCAGCAUGUGUGUUCAUUGUCCUCUCCAUUUCAAACAAACCAUCAGCUGUUUCUUUAAUAUUUUAUUACUUAAUCAUACUGUAGAAUUUGUUUCUCGGUGAUCUAAAACUUAUAGCCAUUAAGGGAAGCCCUUGGUUUGUAUUAGGUACUUGUGCCAUUGGGUGCAACUGUAUGAAAAAUAGUGAGAGAAUGCUGGUAGAAAUUAGCAGUAAUGUAAUUACAUAGAGAGAAGGUACUCACAUGUCACAUCAUAUUUCCCCAUGCUCCUCUUGAAUUGCAACAAGUAUUGAAUUUAGUUUUA
Long non-coding RNA from Triticum dicoccoides, 2653 nucleotides. RefSeq lists it as uncharacterized. Lineage: Eukaryota; Viridiplantae; Streptophyta; Magnoliopsida; Poales; Poaceae. The record is from RefSeq and is a predicted model, not a curated record. The transcript is spliced from 5 exons.